This 1219-nucleotide ribosomal RNA is filed under the name metagenome. Its description in RNAcentral is "SSU rRNA". It matches the Rfam family "Eukaryotic small subunit ribosomal RNA", at positions 4 to 1187 of the family's 1831-position model. The record is from RNAcentral.
CUGGUUGAUCCUGCCAGUAGUGAUAUGCUUGUUUCAAAGAUUAAGCCAUGCAUGUCUAAGUAUAAGCGAACUUAUACAGUGAAACCGCGGAUGGCUCAUUAAAACAGUUUGAAUUUAUUUGAUGAAUGUAUGAGAAUACUACUUGGAUAACCGUAGUAAUUCUAGAGCUAAUACAUGCAACGACGCCCGACCGUUUCACUACGGAAGGGCUGUAUUUAUUGGAUACCAAAACCAUCCUUCCCUCGGGAAGUUUUGUUUGAUGAUUCACAAUAACUGAUCGGAUCGCCACUGUGGUGGCGACAGGUCAUUCAACAUUCUGCCCUAUCAGCUUCCGAUGGUUGUGUAGUGGACAACCAUGGCCAUAACGGGUAACGGAGAAUCAGGGUUCGAUUCCGGAGAAGGAGCUUGAGAAUUGGCUACUACAUCUAAGGAAGGCAGCAGGCGCGCAAAUUACCCAAUCCCGAUUCGGGGAGGUAGUGACAAAAAAUAACAAUACCGGGCCUUUUUGGGCUUGGUAAUUGGAAUGAGGGAGAGUUAAACGGACCAUCGAGUAUCCAUUGGAGGGCAAGUCUGGUGCCAGCAGCUGCGGUAAUACCAGCUCCAAUAGCGUAUAUUAAAGUUGUUGCAGUUAAAAAGCUCGUAGUUGGACUUGUGUGCGCUGUCCGCGGGUGGCCUGCGCCCAAAAGGGCGUUUCGGUUCGGCCCCGGUGGCGCCUUGAAAUCUGCAGCUGGGGGGACGUUGGCCUUAACUGGUCGGCGACCGCACGCCGGCUGCUCGGUUACUGUGAGAAAAUUAGAGUGUUCAAGGCAGGCAUUGGGUGCAAUUGAAUACAUUAGCAUGGAAUAAUAAAAUAUGGCUCCUGCCGUAUUUUGUUGGUUUUGACUGGUGGGAGUAAUGAUUGAUAGGGACGGUUGGGGGUGCUUGUAUUGAGCGGCCAGAGGUGAAAUUCAUGGAUUCGCUCAAGACUGACUUAUGCGAAAGCAUUCACCAAGGACGUCCUCUUUAAUCAAGAACGAAAGUUGGGGGAUCGAAGACGAUCAGAUACCGUCGUAGUCUCAACCAUAAACUAUGUCGACUUGGGAUCGGCGGUAGUUUUUUCAUUAAGACACUGUCGGGACCACGGGAGAAAUCAAAGUGUCUGGACUCUGGGGGAAGUAUGGUCGCAAGGCUGAAACUUGAAGGAAUUGACGGAGGGGCACCACCAGGAGUGGAGCCUGCG